RNAcentral lists this ribosomal RNA (2774 nucleotides) under Enterobacter cloacae. Its description in RNAcentral is "bacterial LSU rRNA". It matches the Rfam family "Bacterial large subunit ribosomal RNA". The record is from RNAcentral. Lineage: Bacteria; Pseudomonadati; Pseudomonadota; Gammaproteobacteria; Enterobacterales; Enterobacteriaceae.
AGCGUACACGGUGGAUGCCCUGGCAGUCAGAGGCGAUGAAGGACGUGCUAAUCUGCGAAAAGCGCCGGCGAGGUGAUAUGAACCUUUGACCCGGCGAUGUCCGAAUGGGGAAACCCAGUGCAAUUCGUUGCACUAUCGUUAACUGAAUACAUAGGUUAACGAGGCGAACCGGGGGAACUGAAACAUCUAAGUACCCCGAGGAAAAGAAAUCAACCGAGAUUCCCCCAGUAGCGGCGAGCGAACGGGGAGCAGCCCAGAGUCUGAAUCAGCUUGUGUGUUAGUGGAAGCGUCUGGAAAGUCGCACGGUACAGGGUGACAGUCCCGUACACGAAAGCACACAGGUUGUGAACUCGAAGAGUAGGGCGGGACACGUGGUAUCCUGUCUGAAUAUGGGGGGACCAUCCUCCAAGGCUAAAUACUCCUGACUGACCGAUAGUGAACCAGUACCGUGAGGGAAAGGCGAAAAGAACCCCGGCGAGGGGAGUGAAAAAGAACCUGAAACCGUGUACGUACAAGCAGUGGGAGCACCCUUGUGGUGUGACUGCGUACCUUUUGUAUAAUGGGUCAGCGACUUAUAUUCUGUAGCAAGGUUAACCGUAUAGGGGAGCCGAAGGGAAACCGAGUCUUAACUGGGCGUUAAGUUGCAGGGUAUAGACCCGAAACCCGGUGAUCUAGCCAUGGGCAGGUUGAAGGUUGGGUAACACUAACUGGAGGACCGAACCGACUAAUGUUGAAAAAUUAGCGGAUGACUUGUGGCUGGGGGUGAAAGGCCAAUCAAACCGGGAGAUAGCUGGUUCUCCCCGAAAGCUAUUUAGGUAGCGCCUCGUGAACUCAUCUUCGGGGGUAGAGCACUGUUUCGGCUAGGGGGCCAUCCCGGCUUACCAACCCGAUGCAAACUACGAAUACCGAAGAAUGUUAUCACGGGAGACACACGGCGGGUGCUAACGUCCGUCGUGAAGAGGGAAACAACCCAGACCGCCAGCUAAGGUCCCAAAGUCAUGGUUAAGUGGGAAACGAUGUGGGAAGGCACAGACAGCCAGGAUGUUGGCUUAGAAGCAGCCAUCAUUUAAAGAAAGCGUAAUAGCUCACUGGUCGAGUCGGCCUGCGCGGAAGAUGUAACGGGGCUAAACCAUGCACCGAAGCUGCGGCAGCGACGCGUAUGCGUUGUUGGGUAGGGGAGCGUUCUGUAAGCCGUUGAAGGUGUGCUGUGAGGCAUGCUGGAGGUAUCAGAAGUGCGAAUGCUGACAUAAGUAACGAUAAAGCGGGUGAAAAGCCCGCUCGCCGGAAGACCAAGGGUUCCUGUCCAACGUUAAUCGGGGCAGGGUGAGUCGACCCCUAAGGCGAGGCCGAAAGGCGUAGUCGAUGGGAAACAGGUUAAUAUUCCUGUACUUGGUGUUACUGCGAAGGGGGGACGGAGAAGGCUAUGUUAGCCGGGCGACGGUUGUCCCGGUUUAAGCAUGUAGGCGGAGGUUCCAGGUAAAUCCGGUACCUUUUAACGCUGAGGUGUGAUGACGAGGCACUACGGUGCUGAAGUAACAAAUGCCCUGCUUCCAGGAAAAGCCUCUAAGCAUCAGGUAACACGAAAUCGUACCCCAAACCGACACAGGUGGUCAGGUAGAGAAUACCAAGGCGCUUGAGAGAACUCGGGUGAAGGAACUAGGCAAAAUGGUGCCGUAACUUCGGGAGAAGGCACGCUGAUAUGUAGGUGAAGCCCCUGCGGGUGGAGCUGAAAUCAGUCGAAGAUACCAGCUGGCUGCAACUGUUUAUUAAAAACACAGCACUGUGCAAACACGAAAGUGGACGUAUACGGUGUGACGCCUGCCCGGUGCCGGAAGGUUAAUUGAUGGGGUUAGCGGCAACGCGAAGCUCUUGAUCGAAGCCCCGGUAAACGGCGGCCGUAACUAUAACGGUCCUAAGGUAGCGAAAUUCCUUGUCGGGUAAGUUCCGACCUGCACGAAUGGCGUAAUGAUGGCCAGGCUGUCUCCACCCGAGACUCAGUGAAAUUGAACUCGCUGUGAAGAUGCAGUGUACCCGCGGCAAGACGGAAAGACCCCGUGAACCUUUACUAUAGCUUGACACUGAACACUGGUCCUUGAUGUGUAGGAUAGGUGGGAGGCUUUGAAGCGUGGACGCCAGUCUGCGUGGAGCCGUCCUUGAAAUACCACCCUUUAAUGGCUGGUGUUCUAACGUAGACCCGUAAUCCGGGUUGCGGACAGUGUCUGGUGGGUAGUUUGACUGGGGCGGUCUCCUCCCAAAGAGUAACGGAGGAGCACGAAGGUUAGCUAAUCCUGGUCGGACAUCAGGAGGUUAGUGCAAUGGCAUAAGCUAGCUUGACUGCGAGAGUGACGGCUCGAGCAGGUGCGAAAGCAGGUCAUAGUGAUCCGGUGGUUCUGAAUGGAAGGGCCAUCGCUCAACGGAUAAAAGGUACUCCGGGGAUAACAGGCUGAUACCGCCCAAGAGUUCAUAUCGACGGCGGUGUUUGGCACCUCGAUGUCGGCUCAUCACAUCCUGGGGCUGAAGUAGGUCCCAAGGGUAUGGCUGUUCGCCAUUUAAAGUGGUACGCGAGCUGGGUUUAGAACGUCGUGAGACAGUUCGGUCCCUAUCUGCCGUGGGCGCUGGAGAAUUGAGGGGGGCUGCUCCUAGUACGAGAGGACCGGAGUGGACGCAUCACUGGUGUUCGGGUUGUCAUGCCAAUGGCACUGCCCGGUAGCUAAAUGCGGAAAAGAUAAGUGCUGAAAGCAUCUAAGCACGAAACUUGCCCCGAGAUGAGUUCU